This 74-nucleotide transfer RNA is filed under the name Candidatus Dormiibacterota bacterium. Its description in RNAcentral is "tRNA-Val". It matches the Rfam family "tRNA". Rfam says of the family: Transfer RNA (tRNA) molecules are approximately 80 nucleotides in length. Their secondary structure includes four short double-helical elements and three loops (D, anti-codon, and T loops). Further hydrogen bonds mediate the characteristic L-shaped molecular structure. tRNAs have two regions of fundamental functional importance: the anti-codon, which is responsible for specific mRNA codon recognition, and the 3' end, to which the tRNAs corresponding amino acid is attached (by aminoacyl-tRNA synthetases). tRNAs cope with the degeneracy of the genetic code in two manners: having more than one tRNA (with a specific anti-codon) for a particular amino acid; and 'wobble' base-pairing, i.e. permitting non-standard base-pairing at the 3rd anti-codon position. The record is from RNAcentral. Lineage: Bacteria; Bacillati; Candidatus Dormiibacterota. RNAcentral also lists the same sequence under 4 other names.
GGGCGGGUAGCUCAGCUGGUCAGAGCGUCUCGCUUACACCGAGAAGGCCGCGGGUUCGAUCCCUGCCCCGCCCA